RNAcentral lists this small RNA (1066 nucleotides) under Aspergillus niveoglaucus. RNAcentral's name for it is "eukaryotic LSU rRNA". The stretch from base 470 to 1066 matches the Rfam family "Eukaryotic large subunit ribosomal RNA", at positions 1 to 601 of the family's 3401-position model. The record is from RNAcentral. Lineage: Eukaryota; Fungi; Ascomycota; Eurotiomycetes; Eurotiales; Aspergillaceae.
UACCGAGUGCGGGCCCUCUGGGUCCAACCUCCCAUCCGUGUCUAUCUGUACCCUGUUGCUUCGGCGUGGCCACGGCCCGCCGAAGACUAACAUUUGAACACUGUCUGAAGUUUGCAGUCUGAGUUUUUAGUUAAACAAUAAUUAAAACUUUCAACAACGGAUCUCUUGGUUCCGGCAUCGAUGAAGAACGCAGCGAAAUGCGAUAAUUAAUGUGAAUUGCAGAAUUCAGUGAAUCAUCGAGUCUUUGAACGCACAUUGCGCCCCCUGGUAUUCCGGGGGGCAUGCCUGUCCGAGCGUCAUUGCUGCCCUCAAGCACGGCUUGUGUGUUGGGCUUCCGUCCCUGGUAACGGGGACGGGCCCAAAAGGCAGUGGCGGCACCAUGUCUGGUCCUCGAGCGUAUGGGGCUUUGUCACCCGCUCCCGUAGGUCCAGCUGGCAGCUAGCCUCGCAACCAAUCUUUUUAACCAGGUUGACCUCGGAUCAGGUAGGGAUACCCGCUGAACUUAAGCAUAUCAAUAAGCGGAGGAAAAGAAACCAACAGGGAUUGCCUCAGUAACGGCGAGUGAAGCGGCAAGAGCUCAAAUUUGAAAUCUGGCUCCUUCGGGGUCCGAGUUGUAAUUUGUAGAGGAUGCUUCGGGUGCGGCCCCCGUCUAAGUGCUCUGGAACGGGCCAUCGGAGAGGGUGAAAAUCCCGUCUGGGACGGGGUGUCCGCGUCCAUGUGAAGCUCCUUCGACGAGUCGAGUUGUUUGGGAAUGCAGCUCUAAAUGGGUGGUAAAUUUCAUCUAAAGCUAAAUACUGGCCGGAGACCGAUAGCGCACAAGUAGAGUGAUCGAAAGAUGAAAAGCACUUUGAAAAGAGAGUUAAACAGCACGUGAAAUUGUUGAAAGGGAAGCGCUUGCGACCAGACUCGCUUCCGGGGUUCAGCCGGCUUUCGGGCCGGUGUACUUCCCCGGGGGCGGGCCAGCGUCGGUUUGGGCGGCCGGUCAAAGGCCCCUGGAAUGUAACGCCCCUCGGGGCGCCUUAUAGCCAGGGGUGUCAUGCGGCCAGCCUGGACCGAGGAACGCGCU